Molecule: long non-coding RNA, 443 nt
Organism: Poeciliopsis prolifica (blackstripe livebearer)
Lineage: Eukaryota; Metazoa; Chordata; Actinopteri; Cyprinodontiformes; Poeciliidae
Exons: 3
Source: RefSeq, a predicted model, not a curated record
GCAACUGCUGCAAUAUUUUCGCUGCAUUUGAUAAACCGGAUUAAACUGAAGGACGCUGAAUGCUGCAUGAGAUGACUCAAAGGACACAGCAAAGCACCAGACGCAACGCGGCACUCAGUUGAAACAGAUUUGAUUUCUAUUCCUCUAUGUUCGGGUGACAUCGCUGCUCCUCCGAGAGGUUUGAGCAGGGAUUGGAACGAGGAUCAAGUCACCUGUCACAGCAAAGAAGGCCAGGCCGCAGAGAACCUGAGCAUGUAUGCCUGGAUGUGACUGUAGACUUGCUUUUAUCUUUUGUUUAUGUUUUUUAUUUUUGUUCGGGAUGGUUUUUGUGUUUGGUGCUGCUGCAUUUUUGCUUUUUGAUUUAUAUAUAUUUUUUGUUUUUCUCUUUGUGUUGUCUCGGCCUCAAAGCACCUUGAAAGACAUUUAGUGCCUUGCAAAAGUUU